AGCCCUGUGGUGUUAUCACGUCAGAUUGCAAAUCUGAAGACGCACACUAAGGUGUACCUGGGCUU
Molecule: transfer RNA, 65 nt
Filed under: Scincus scincus (sandfish skink)
Lineage: Eukaryota; Metazoa; Chordata; Lepidosauria; Squamata; Scincidae
Description: tRNA-Cys
Source: RNAcentral